This 253-nucleotide ribosomal RNA is filed under the name uncultured bacterium. Its description in RNAcentral is "partial 16S ribosomal RNA". It matches the Rfam family "Bacterial small subunit ribosomal RNA", at positions 524 to 776 of the family's 1533-position model. The record is from RNAcentral.
UACGGAGGGUGCAAGCGUUAUCCGGAUUCACUGGGUUUAAAGGGUGCGUAGGUGGGCAAGUAAGUCAGUGGUGAAAUCUCCGGGCUUAACCCGGAAACUGCCAUUGAUACUAUUUGUCUUGAAUACUGUGGAGGUCAGCGGAAUAUGUCAUGUAGCGGUGAAAUGCUUAGAUAUGACAUAGAACACCAGUGGCGAAGGCGAGUCUCUGGACAGUUACCGACGCUGAGGCACGAAGGUCAGGGGAGCAAACGGG